Molecule: RNA transcript, 1316 nt
Organism: Eptesicus fuscus (big brown bat)
Lineage: Eukaryota; Metazoa; Chordata; Mammalia; Chiroptera; Vespertilionidae
Gene name: nuclear receptor subfamily 6 group A member 1-like
Exons: 4
Source: RefSeq, a predicted model, not a curated record
AGUCCCGCGUGGCCGGCCUCGCCGGGCCGACUCCAAUUCCCAGCGUGCCCCGCGGGCCCGUGCGUGGCAGCGGCGCGUGACGUCGGGGGAGGGAGCUGGCCAGUGCUGAGGGGGCGCGGCGCGGAGGGGCGCGGAGCCGGGCGGCUAGGGGCCCAGAGAGCGCGGCGGCCGGGAGCCCGCCGGCCCCUGACAGCCCCCUCCCCCUGGCGGACGACGACGACGACGAGGGCGCUGGUCAUGGCGGAGCAGCGAGCCGAGCGCGGGCCCUGAGCACCACCGCAUGGAGCGGGACGAACGGCCUCCUAGCGGAGGGGCAGGCGGCGGGGGCUCGACGGGGUUCCUGGAGCCGCCCGCCGCGCUCCCUCCGCCGCCGCGCAACGGUUUUUGUCAGGAUGACUUGGCAGAGCUCGACCCAGGCACUACUACCAAGUUUCCAAGGCGGUUCUGCCAAAUUGAACCACCCGGGGCUCCAACUUCCCACUUAGAUCAAGAUUUUACAUUCAGAAUUCUCGUUCCUUGAAAUUGCUCAAAGAAAGGGGAAUCAGUGUCUUCAAGUAGCAGGAACCAUCUUGAAGCCCAAGAACCAGGAUGUGCUACAAAAUAUUGAAACCCACAUUGCUCCAACUUGGAGAUGUAGAUGUUUUCAUACUCCUCUUGAAGCCUCUUGAUAUACUUGAAACAAACAAAAAACAAGAAGCAUAAACUCAAUUAAAUAACGUAUUUUAGGGGUUAGUAGCAUAGGAGUCACUGUCUUAGGUGGGUGACUGCCCAGACACUUCCCAGGCACUUUGCAGGGAGCAUCUCUGUAAGUGUUUAGGGAAAUGCUGCUAGCCUUGAUCACAAAGUUGUAAAGAUGACAGCAACAUGUCAGCAUGAAUUCAUGUUCCUCUUAGAACACUGAUAGUGUUCUUCUUCAUUCCUUUACUAAUUCAGCAGCAGAAUCCUAAGAAUUCUUUCUCCUACAUACAGCCCUUGCCAUCAUGGAGCCCACUGUCUACCCAGGGAACUAGACAUAGACCCAUCUGAUGACAAAGAGGAUGUUUGCUGUGCUGGCAGAAUGAUAUAAUCCAUGUUAAAGAUAACAGAGAAAAGAAGUGUUAAUCCUGCUUAGAAGUAUUAGGAAAGGUACAUCUAAAUGGUCACAUUUGAUCUGAGCCUUGAAGGUUUAAUUGAAUUUUCACUAGACACAGAAGGAAAGAUAUUCCAAUAGAGGGAAAACUCUGCACAGCAAACUGUAGAGGCAAGAAAGUUCAGGUAGGGAGAGAUCAACCAAAGGACUUUAUGCAUGCAUAUAAGCCUAACCAAAGGACACGACA